GUAAAUGUAUGUACGACCUCACGCGCCUAAAGAAAAAUAUAACGCGCCUAAAGAAGAUCCUAAUAAGAGAGAGUCCCUCUCUCCCGGUUGAAACUUGUCGGCGGCCUCGCCACAAUGUUUCAGUCCGGGAGAGGAAACGUUUAGCUAGAGUGCGCGCCCGUUUUUAUUUGCUUUUUUUCAUGUUUUCUUCUGGGUUUGGUGGGUGAGAUGGAGGGGAGGAUGAGAUGGGUUAGGGAGUUGUAGAUCCAACUGAGGUGGUCGGGGAAGGGUUCAGAUAUGGUCGUGGUUGUUUUGGUGGUCUUUGUAAGAUCUGGUCCCUAGUCGGGUUACGGAGAGUUAUCUCAGGGAGGUGCAACCAAGUUUGGGAGUGUUGGCCGCAGAUCUGAUGGUGGAGGCCUCGGCGAUCCGAGUUGUGCAAGUUAGUGGCGUAAGCCUCGAUCUGUAGCUUGUUGUAGGCUGGCGGAGAUGUUGUCGAAGGUGUGGAGGAUCAACGGAAGUAGGUCGGUGGAGUGGAUCUGGGCCACGGACUGGGCUGGUUUUGGGUGGGAUUCAGAUAUGGAGAAGCUUAUUUGGGCCUAUGCUGAAAUGGGCUUAGUCGUGGUGGUCUAGGCUGGGCUGCUACGUACAUCAUUUUGUUUGUGUUUUCUUUCCUGUUUGUUUUAUGUUUCCUUUAGUAGUUCUGUUGAUCCUUGUGGUUGGCAUUGUUUGGAUCAUUACAAACACCGUUGAUGAGUAAUGACAAUAUUCACCCGUUUUUAUUACGAGUAUUCACUACUUAGAGGCGGAGUUGACUCAAUGUCUUAAUCUUUCAUGUGAUAGAAGCCAUUGCCAUGUUGGAUUACCAGCGCUCCGUACCAACUUUGUUAGCAACUUAUCGGUUGAGUCUUCUGAUCUUGAUGAUCAUUUUUUUAGCCUCAUGGUGUAUAGGGUUAUGCCUUUUGGUUUAGGGUCAAGCCUUUUGGUCUUUUGUUUGAUAUUAGUGGUUCAUUGGUGGCUCUUGAUUGUAUCAUUCAUACAACUUGUAACUUCUUUCGUAUGAAUGACAACCCCAUUAACUUCUUCCGUAUGAAUGACAACCCCAUUUGAUCAAAAAAAAAAAUCAAUUUGUACGCAAAAUAGGAAUUGAUAUAUGCAUGUCGCAUACAUCAAUUUUUUGCGCAAGCGAGAGAUUUUUUGUGCUUCAAGUGCGAGAACGUACACUUCCUAACAGAAAUGUUGUGGACACAUGCUUCAUGAUAUCACUCAGAGUAGUUAGCCUCUCACUCCAGUCCAGAAAAAAUUGGUAAAUGGACAAGUAAAGUCCUUUUUCUUUUUUCUUUUUUAACAAGGAUAAGUAAAGUCCUUAAAGACUUAAAAUGAAAUGACCGACCACCUU
This 1375-nucleotide long non-coding RNA is filed under the name Fragaria vesca (wild strawberry). RNAcentral describes it as "long non-coding RNA (FVES_LNC003168)". Lineage: Eukaryota; Viridiplantae; Streptophyta; Magnoliopsida; Rosales; Rosaceae. The record is from RNAcentral.